This 102-nucleotide microRNA precursor is filed under the name Marmota monax (woodchuck). Lineage: Eukaryota; Metazoa; Chordata; Mammalia; Rodentia; Sciuridae. The record is from RNAcentral.
AGUGGAAUAGCUGGGUCAAAUGUGGUUCCAUUAUCAGAUUUCCAAGGAAUCUCCAUAUUGCUUUCCAGAUUGGCUGCACCAAUUUGCAGUCCCACCAGCAGU